This is a long non-coding RNA of Gadus macrocephalus (Pacific cod), 1681 nucleotides long. RefSeq lists it as uncharacterized. The record is from RefSeq and is a predicted model, not a curated record. NCBI's taxonomy places the organism in Eukaryota, Metazoa, Chordata, Actinopteri, Gadiformes, Gadidae. The transcript has 2 exons.
UUUAAAUAUAUAUAAAAACCAGCGUUUCUCACGCCUCAUUAAAAGAGAAAGCAAAUCAACCUUUUCCUACAAGAUGCAGUGAUGGGUUCUAAAGCAGUCACCUGUAAUGAAUCUAAGAGCUGAAUGAUAUACCGAAUCCAAAGGAUUUAGGGUAGAAGCAGACACAAGCUUAUAAACUACAUCCCCUUAGUCCAGCACUGAUAAAAACACUGCUUCAAUAAUCGUUUUUCUACAUACCAUAGGGAAGAUGGUUCUAUUCCUUUAUAAAAUCACAUUUUCUGACGUAAUUUGCUAACAAGUUUAUCAAUAUGAGAUUUAAAAGUGAGUUUUUCAUCAAGCUAGAUGCCUAGAUAUUUGUAUUCAGAGACUUUUUCAAUAAUAGUCUCACUGAUAGUGGAAAUGCAGACUAUUGUGACCCAUAUCUCUUGCCCUUGAGAACAACAUUAAUUUUGUUUUGGUCUGAUUAAGAACCAGCUUUGUUUAUGGGAAAGAAACCAGAUUGGACAUUACCUAGUUUCACACAUUUAAAUCGGUCAGAUAGGUAAUAACGGAACCAGUUACGCAUUUUCAGUAAGACCAAUGCUACUCAAUUUAUCGAACGAUAAAGAAUGGUCGACCGUAUCAAAAGCUUUACCAAUAUCAUAAACGGGGCAGCACAGUGUUUUUCUAUUAUCUAAGGCAGAGACAAUAAUGUUAGUGACCAGAGUGAUGGCAGAGAUAGUACUAUGGUUUGCUCUAAAACCAGAUUGGUGUACAGACAAAAUAGAGUGAUUUGAAAGGAAACAUUUGAGUUUGCGGUUAACAUGAAUUAAUAGAAAAAUCUCACCUUCUCAAUUUGUUAAGGAUGCUGCCUUCAUUCUUAUUGAUGUCCUGGACGAUUUUCUGGAGUUGCCUAAAGAAAACCAACAUAUAAUUGAUCUUCAUUGUUAUCCACUCCUCGCUAUAAACCGGACAAUCACAUAGCCGCACCGGCGCUCGCACUAAAAGUUAGCUGGGCAUGGGAAGAAGUAGUCUACGAUGAGAUCAUUUCCCACUCCACGUUGGCACAGCAGCUAUUCCUCGAUCAUGAUCAGUUUGUCUUUAUGCUACACUUUAAUUCCAAGCUUGUUAGAAACUUCUUCUAACCAUGGUAAACUGUGUUCUUUUUGUUGAAUCAAUAGGUGGUUUAACAUGAGGACAAAGCAACAGAUAUCAAACCUUACUUUUGUAUUGUAUUUUGAAUAUUAAAAAUUUCACUGAAUUUCAAACGAUCUAUGGUGUUAUUGUUGUCGUCAAACGUUUUCUAUAAACAAACCAAAAUAAGGUUCAAAUUCUUACCGAAGUUUUGCAGUAGCAGGAGCAGCGAAUCUACUGAAUUGUUCCAUACUAAGUAAUUACUUAAGCCGUUACGUACUGAUAUGAAACAUGCCUCCAAGCGUACGAGUAAGCUGCAUGAAGACAGUCAUUACGUUGGCAUAGGGAGGGAUUCAUUCAAACCAUUGCUGUAAGAAUCAUCACUUCUGCUUUCCACCCCUGCAAUUCACACACACACACACACACACACACACACACACACACACACACACACACACACACACACACACACACACACACACACACACACACACACACACACACACACACACACACACACACACACACACACACACACACACACACACACACACACACACACGACGCA